This 429-nucleotide ribosomal RNA is filed under the name Acidobacteriota bacterium. RNAcentral's name for it is "Acidobacteria bacterium partial 16S ribosomal RNA". It matches the Rfam family "Bacterial small subunit ribosomal RNA", at positions 355 to 776 of the family's 1533-position model. Lineage: Bacteria; Pseudomonadati; Acidobacteriota. The record is from RNAcentral.
UGGGGAAUUUUGGACAAUGGGGGAAACCCUGAUCCAGCCAUCCCGCGUGUGCGAUGAAGGCCUUCGGGUUGUAAAGCACUUUUGGCAGGAAAGAAACGUCAUGGGUUAAUACCCCGUGAAACUGACGGUACCUGCAGAAUAAGCACCGGCUAACUACGUGCCAGCAGCCGCGGUAAUACGUAGGGUGCAAGCGUUAAUCGGAAUUACUGGGCGUAAGGCGUGCGCAGGCGGUUCGGAAAGAAAGAUGUGAAAUCCCAGAGCUCAACUUUGGAACUGCAUUUUUAACUACCGGGCUAGAGUGUGUCAGAGGGAGGUGGAAUUCCUCGUGUAGCAGUGAAAUGCGUAGAUAUGCGGAGGAACACCGAUGGCGAAGGCAGCCUCCUGGGAUAACACUGACGCUCAUGCACGAAAGCGUGGGGAGCAAACAGG